RNAcentral lists this long non-coding RNA (284 nucleotides) under Zonotrichia albicollis (white-throated sparrow). Its description in RNAcentral is "lncRNA (ENSZALG00000015218.1)". The record is from RNAcentral. Lineage: Eukaryota; Metazoa; Chordata; Aves; Passeriformes; Passerellidae.
CUGUAAUAGCAACAGGUUGAUAUAUUUUUCAUAAUGUGCAUAUUAUGUCCCAUAUACUCCAGGAAAAGACCCCAGCAGGAAUGUGUGCUGUUACCCUUGGGGACUGCUCUGAAGCAUUACUGCUCUGCAGUAUGUGAAACACCUGUUGUUAGAAGUAUUGAUGAUACUGAAGAAAUAACAAGGCUCUGCAGCAUAGAAACCUGUGUCAAUAGACUAUCAGCACUAUGAACUUGUGACAUUUUAAGAUGGCUUGUAGUGUGUGUGAAACAAAUAAACUGAAUGGC